AUUGAACGCUGGCGGCAUGCCUUACACAUGCAAGUCGAACGGCAGCACGGGAGCAAUCCUGGUGGCGAGUGGCGAACGGGUGAGUAAUAUAUCGGAACGUGCCCAGUCGUGGGGGAUAACGUAGCGAAAGCUACGCUAAUACCGCAUACGAUCUACGGAUGAAAGCGGGGGAUCGCAAGACCUCGCGCGAUUGGAGCGGCCGAUAUCAGAUUAGGUAGUUGGUGAGGUAAAGGCUCACCAAGCCGACGAUCUGUAGCUGGUCUGAGAGGACGACCAGCCACACUGGGACUGAGACACGGCCCAGACUCCUACGGAGGCAGCAGUGGGGAAUAUUGGACAAUGGGCGAAAGCCUGAUCCAGCAAUGCCGCGUGAGUGAUGAAGGCCUCGG
This 389-nucleotide ribosomal RNA is filed under the name uncultured bacterium. RNAcentral describes it as "bacterial SSU rRNA". It matches the Rfam family "Bacterial small subunit ribosomal RNA", at positions 29 to 420 of the family's 1533-position model. The record is from RNAcentral.